UACAGAGACCUCAAGCGUUAUCCGGAUUUAUUGGGCGUAAAGGGUCCGUAGGUGGUUUUAUUAGUCAUUCGUUAAAUCUUCAGGCUCAACCUGGAGGCCGCGGGUGAUACUGUAAGACUAGAGGGUGGGAGAGGUAGAUGGAAUUACUGGUGUAGCGGUAAAAUGCGUUAAUAUCAGUAAGAACACCAAAGGCGAAGGCAAUCUACUGGAACAUUCCUGACACUGAGGGACGAAAGCGUGGGUAGCGAAUCGG
RNAcentral lists this ribosomal RNA (253 nucleotides) under uncultured bacterium. RNAcentral describes it as "partial 16S ribosomal RNA". It matches the Rfam family "Bacterial small subunit ribosomal RNA", at positions 524 to 776 of the family's 1533-position model. The record is from RNAcentral.